UCCAACUUUCAAUCAACCAUUGCUGCCCCUUUUCUCUCUCUCUCUCUCUCUCUGCCCUCUGCAACCGACCAACCAACGAACCUUUUCGUUGUUCAGGCCUCUUUCUCUCUCUUUCUUGUGAAUCGGUUUACUUUCUCUUCUUCUUCCUUUUCCUUUUUCUACAACUCUAUUGACAAUUUCCCCUUUCCCUUUCCUUUAAGAAGAACGGCGGAGAAAAACCAUUUUUUGUUUUUCUUCUGUGUUUCUAAUCAGAACCUUUGCUUAUUUCCGGUGAAUUUAGGCAACCAUAUUUGAUUUUGACAGUUUACUGUGCUAGUUUCCUGAAAUCGCCUCGUUAUUUGGUCCUUGGAAGAAGAUAAUUUCAGAAAAUGAGAAGAAAAGAGGGAAGAUCCAAUUUUGAGUAAGGUUGCUUCACUUAAAGCUGAUUCUUUUUUAGGUCUUUGAACAAUUCUUUGUUGAAGAAGAAGAAACAAGAAGAAUGGGGAACAAAAGGAGGUUGGGAUUGGAAAGUUUGAAGGUUUUGUCGUUGGUGAUGACUACUCUUGCAACAGUGGAUGUCCAAAGCGUGGUCUCUGAGGAAGUAACAGUGCAUCGGAACUCUUAGCUGUUGCUAUUGGAUGAAGCUUUAGGCUACCCAACUGGUUAUCUCCCUCCCUCUCUCGUGGCUGAUUUCAGAUUUGAGCUCUCUCCAUACUGGUUCUCUUCAAACCAUGGCUUCUUCCGAUCAUAUAUGAACUACCCUUUCUGAUCAGAUAUGAACUACUCUUUGUUCUUGUUCUAUUCUUCCUCUGUUUCGUCUCCUUUAUAUUUCUUCUUCAAAGCUAGGUGGAUCCCCUGUUUUGGGUUAGAAUUCAACAUUCUUGAUCUUAUCAUAUCAAAUAGAUUAAUUGCUUUUUGUUUCCAUAUUGGUAGAUAGGUGUCUGUUGGCAUUAUCCAUUAUAUCCUGGCUUUAGUUUUCUAUUUAAUUAGUUGUUUUUGUCCAGUAAGAAUAUAUGCUCUGUUUUCUAAAUUUUCUGCAACUCACAUCGAUCCUUCUAUGGUUGUUUUGGAAUUCUAUUUUAUUUCGAAUCACUUUUCUAAGCUUGGGAUAUACUAUUUGAUAUGGCAGAAUUUGUCACCGAAUAAAGCAAGGACAUGUGGCAACCGAAGGAGGGACGCGUGUCACCCAUCCUAUAAAGGCCGUAGGGCUCCAAACCGCAUGAAGGGAAGAUUCCCGAAGGGGCAAGGCUCCGACCACGUGAGGGGAAGGUUCCCGAAGGGGCAAAGCUCCAACCAUGUGAGGGGAAGGUUCCCGAAGGGGCAAGGCACCAACCACGUGAAGGGAAGAUUCCCGAAGGGGCAAGACUCCCAACCACGUGAAAGGAAGGUUCUAGAAGAGGCAAGGCUCCUAACCACGUGAGGGGAAGAUUCCCGAAGGGGAUUUUCCGAAACCCUAGGCCCAGCAACCCUAUAAGAGGAAAUCGAAAAGGGACACCAGGAGGGUUAGCUCCUAACAGAUUUCAGCAAUAACAGAUUGGCGUCGUCUGUGGGAAGGAUAGUAAUGGUGGGGAAAACCUACAACCGUAAGAAAACAAGAGUAGCGCUGAGCAUAAACAUGGACGAGGAACCUUCAGGAGGGUUCCCUUCCUCGACAAAAAUUGGCGAAGAACGGGGAAACGAUCAUCGGGAAGGUUCCAUGAGGAACCAGCAUUCCGUCGGAUAUUUGGUGCGUGGAGAAGGUAAUCCUCCCCCUCCUAGGGCACAGGAAUAUGUGACAAGGGAGCAGUUCGAAGCCCUUCAAGAGAAGUAUGACCGAAUGGCCGAGACAAUGAAGGAAGUCUUUAAGGCCGUCUCCCAGAAGAUCGAUGGAGCACCACAAGGCCCCCAUAUACAGAAAGAGCGUGCCCAAGACGAGGACCGGAGUAGCACAGGAUCGAUAAGGUCUGGCAAGAAUCAUCGCAAUCGAGCAAUGAGGGAAAGCCCCACACCCAAGGAAAUGACGCGUCGCGCCGUCGGGACCAGGCAUGGGGAACCACGCCAAGUAGACGGAUAGAGACACGAGGACAUAGGGUUGAAGCAGAUGAUCCUAGACUUGAAAAGCGAGAUCAGGAAGGUAGCGGAAAAUCAGAUAGGAUCUCACGAGUCGGACCUCACUAAUGACAUGGCUCUAGCUGAUGAGGUCAUGAGGGACCCACACUCGAUCGGUUUCUGCCUGCCCAAAUACGACACCUAUGACGGGUCUGGGGACCCCGUCGACCAUCUGGAAGGCUUCAAGGUUGCUAUACAGUUUCAUCAAGUCUCGGAAAACAUCAUGUGUCAUGCAUUGCCUUUGACUUUCAGAGGAGCGACAAGCUCUGGUACAACCGCUUGCCAACGAAAUCGAUCCAUAGUUUCAGCGAUUUAAGUUACUGCUUCGUGAAAGGAUUCUCCAGUAGCCAACCCCUUCAGAAGACCACGUUGAACCUGACUAACAUCAAGCAACAUGAAGGGGAAUCACUGCGAAACUACAUGAAGCGAUUCCAGCAAGAGAAAAUCACGAUCAGAGGUUUGGACCCGAAAGAAGAGUUCACGACCCUACUGGGAAUUGUCAAAGAUAAGGAGCUGAAAAGGUCUUUGGCGAAGCAUACACCGAGGAAUCUAGCCGAGUUGAGGGCCCGGUGUGAUAAGUACAUCCAAAUGGAAGAAACCCUCUAAGCCGAUGAAGAAGCCGAGGAGAAGACGUGAAGGAAGAGGAUCUUUGGAGUCGAGGACAAACCUUCCGAAGAAGGCAAAAGACGGAGGACCGAACGUGGUCGGGCACCCAGUCCACCGAAAAAGUUUGAGAGAUACGUGCCUCUGAACCAAAACGAACGGAUGUACUAAUGCAGAUAAAGGACUCCUUGGAUGCCAGAGCCAUGAAGUGGCCAGGGAAGAUGGGACGACACCCUAAGAGACGCAAUAUGGACAAAUAUUGCCACUUCCACAGGGACCACGGCCACGGCACCGAAGAUUGUUGGCAUCUAAAAGGGGAAAUAGAAGGAAUGAUCUGAAGAGGAUAUUUGGGCCGAUUCGUAGACCGCGAGAAGGAGGAUGCCCAAGACGGUAAUGACUGCAGGAAUAACCGAGGUAGAGACGACAAAGGCCGCCAUGAAAGAAGGGGACUGGCCUGCAGAGGCAAUCAAUAACGACAAAGGGAUCAGAUAACCGAGGAAGCUGACCAUCGCCUCCGGGACGAACAUAAAAGCCCAACUAGGGUCAUAGCGACAAUCUAUGGAGGCUUAGCCACUGGAGAAAGUUCAGUCUCGGCCAGGAAAGCAAAAGCAUAUGCGAGAAGCGUACAUAUGGCUGAAUGGUCGAAUAAGAAGGUGAAGACGGGGACGGUUAUUUCCUUCUCGGAUGACGACUUACAAGGAGUGCACACGCCACACGACGAUGCCCUAGUAAUCACCAUGACCAUAGGCGAUUGCAAAGUAAAAAGGAUCUUGGUGGAUAACGAUAGUUCAACUGAUAUCCUGUUCCUUGAAGCUUUCCAAAGGAUGGGCCUGGACGAGGGAAAGCUAAAGAAGGUCGAACACCCGUUGCAGGGAUUCUCCGGUGUCCUGGUCAAAGUGGAGGGAUCAAUUGAGUUACCAGUAAGAGCUGGCACCGGAGACCGCCAAGUGACAAUAAUAAUCAACUUCCUGGUGGUGGGCAUUACUUUAGCGUAUAACGCUAUACUAGGGAGAGUUGGUUUAAACCGGCUAAAGGCUAUCGUUUCCACUCCACACCUCAAGAUGAAGUUCCCAACCAAGAACGGUGUUGGUGAAUGCCGAGGCGAUCAUGAGGCAUCUUGGAGGUGCUACGCCACCACCUUAUGGGGAAAAGAAAAGGCGGGUGAGGCGCUCCCAAUAGAAGAUCUACGCGAUGACACCAGUUAUCAAAGGGGGAACCGGUUGAGGAACUGAUAUAGGUUGAAGCCGAAGAGGGGGAUAACACUCGCUAGUUCCAAGUGGGGGCUACAAUGCCAAGGCAACAACGAGAAAAACUCAUCUCCUUCCUCCGAGAUAAUUCUGACGUCUUCGCCUGGUCAGCCUUGGACAUGCCUGGAAUAGACCGAGAAGUAAUAGAGCACCAUCUGAGUGUCAACCCGACUAAGAAGCUAGUACAGCAGAAGAAGAGGACCUUCGCCCCUGAAAGGCAACGGAAGAUAGAUGAAGAAGUAAAGAAAUUAUUGAAGGCCCGGUUCAUCCGUGAAAUCCAAUACCCGGAGUGGAUAUCCAAUGUGGUGAUGGUCCCGAAGGCAAAUGGGAAGUGGAGGAUCUACAUCGACUUCACAGAUCUGAACAAGGCCUGCCCAAAGGACGGCUACCCCCUGCCGCAGAUAGACCUCUUCAUCGAUGCCACAACAGGACACGAGGCGCUGAGCUUCAUGGAUGCAUACUCAUGGUACAAUCAGAUAAAGAUGUCUGAGGCUGAUGUCCUAAAGAUAUCCUUUGUGAUCGAGGGGGGAUUGUACUGCUAUGAAGUCAUGCCUUUCGGACUAAAAAACGCAGGGGCCACCUAUCAAAGGUUGGUGAAUAAGAUCUUCAAGGGGAUGAUUGGUAAAACCAUGGAGGUAUAUGUAGAUGACAUGCUGGUAAAAAUCCUGAAGGCAGAACACCAUAUUCAAAACCAAGAAAAUGCGUUCCAGGUGCUGAGGUGGUACGGCAUGAAGCUGAACCCGACAAAGUGUGCGUUCGGAGUAGCAUCGGGAAAGUUCCUCGGAUGUAUUGUCUCCGAGAGAGGGAUUGAAGUCAAUCCGAUGAAAAUACAAGCCAUCCGAGAUAUAAGGUCACCACAGAAUGUGAAGCAAGUCCAGGAGCUAAUAGGUAGAGUCAUUGCCCUAGGACGGUUCAUGUCUUAGUUGGUUGACAAGUGCCUCCCAUUUUUCAAAGCCUUGAAGGGGUCCAAAAAGUUCGAGUGGAUGGAGGAAUGCGAAAAGUCCUUCGAGCAACUGAAGGAGUACUUGGCCGCACCCCCACUACUGACGAAACCCUAUAUGGGGGAUACCUUAUAGUUAUACCUAGCCGUAUCAGCAGUAGCAGUAAGUGCGGUACUGAUAAAGGAAGAAGGAAGACAACAUUGACCAAUAUACUACGUUAGUCGAACGCUUUUGGAUGCGGAAACGAGAUACAGAAAAGUGGAAAAAGUAACACACGCCCUAGUGAUAGCGGUAAGAAAGCUGAGGCCCUAUUUCUAGUCGCACACGGUGUGUGUGCUCACAGACCAACCACUGAAGAAGAUGCUACAGAAGCCGGAUAUGUCUGGCCGCCUAGUAAACUGGGCCGUAGAAUUGGGAGAAUUUGACAUCUAAUACAAGCCAAGAACCGUAAUAAAAGCAUAGGCUCUAGCGGACUUCAUAGCCGAGACAACACUCCCAGAUGAACCCCAGGAGUCUGUCGAGGCUCGGGAGAAAAAGACUUGGGCAUUGUAUGUGGAUGGUGCAUCCAACUGCGUGAGAAGCGGCGCUGGGAUCAUACUUGUUAGCCCCGAAGGAUUCAAAAUCUAGUAUGCAAUACGGUUCGACUUCGAUGCCUCCAACAAUGAAGUUGAGUACGAAGCCCUAAUAGCUGGAAUAAAUCUGGCGGGGGCUUUGAUGGUACAGGAGUUAGUAGUGCACAGUGACUCACAGCUCGUGGUGCGACAGGUGAAUGGGGACUAUGAAGUCAAGGAACAAAUGAUGGCCGAAUACUUGAAGACGGUGUGAGAGAAAGUAACAGCCUUUAAGGAGUUUGAGAUAAGGCAGGUGCCACGGGCGGAGAAUGCCAGUGCGGACGCGCUGUCACAAUUGGCCACCUCUGAUUUCACAGACCUUUGGUGAUCAGUGUACUUUGAAGUAUUAUCCCAUCCAAGCAUCGAAGAACCCCGGGAGAUAUUAUCCGUAGCCGAAUACAGCCCUAGCUAGAUGGAUGCCAUAGUCAAAUACCUAAAUGAAGGAACACUCCCUGAGAAUAAGGAUGAGGCAAGGAAGGUAGGAAUGCGGUCUGCACGCUUCCUUUUGAAAGACCAGACACUGUACAAAAUAGGGUUCACCCGUACCUCAAGUGCCUGAACCUUGUCGAUGGUGAGUAUGCACUCCGUGAAGUACAUAAGGGGAUAUGCGGCCAACACUUGGGAGCCCGAGCCUUGGCCCACAAAUUGCUGAGGCAGGGCCUGUUCUGGCCGAUAAUGAAGAAGGACGCGGAAUCGUUUGUCAGGAAGUGCGUCAAGUGUCAGAUGUUCUCCUCUCUUCCCAGGCAGCACUCUACCGAGCUUUCAUCCCUAUCAAACCCAAUACCAUUUGCCAUGUGGGGAAUGGACAUCCUGGGCUCGUUCCCCCUGGCCACGAGACAAAGAAAAUUAGUAGUGGUGGCGGUAGACUAUUUCACGAAAUGGGCAGAGGCCGAAGCACUGACGAUGAUAUCCGAAAAGAAUAUCAGGGACUUCUUCUAGAGGGCGGUAGUCUAUCGAUUCGGAAUCCCUCGGGUGGUGGUAACGGACAAUGGAACUCAGUUUGCCAACCCGACUUUUGGCUUGUUUUGUGAUGCCCUCGGCAUUGACCACAGGAAAACAUCUGUCGGCUAUCCAUCGACCAACGGAUUGACAGAGGUAACCAACCGUACCCUUCUCCAAGGAAUAAAGAAGAGGCUCGAUGAUGCCAAAGGGUUAUGGGUAGAAGAGUAGUACAAUAUCCUCUGGGCUUAUCGCACAAGUGAGAGGUCAGCCACCAGAGAAACACCCUUCAUUUUAAUUUACGGCACCGAAGCUGUACUACCAGUGGAGGUAGGAGCCGUAACCCACCGGAUUCAGUACUACAAAGAAGAAGAAAACGAUAAAAGACUCCGACCUAAUUUAGACCUUUUGACCGAAGUCAGAGACACCUCGCAAAAAAGGAUUGCCGCCUACCAGCAGAGGGUUACGAGGCACUACAACUCAAAAGUCCGGAAGAACGAGUUCAGAAUGGAUGACCUCAUCCUCAGAAGGGCAGAAGUAUUGGAUUCGAGGAAUCAAGGAAAGCUAGCUCCAAAUUGGAAAGGUCCUUACAGAGUCUUGAAGAUAAUACGACCCGGGUCCUAUCACUUGGAGAUUACGGGGGGAGAAAAGGUACCCCGAUCAUGGAACUCGAAGAACUUGAGGAAAUUCUACCAAUAGAAUAUCUACACUUUACAUUUCACAAAUUUUUCCUAAACGAUUCCAAGUUGUAACUCUGCAUCCAAAGCACUCCGAGGGAUUUUCACCCCGUAAAUAUAUGAGAUGGAUUACGACAAUAGCUUCCCGAUGGUUACAAAUGUAAGGCACUCCCCUCGGUCGGGCGCUCGGACCAAAGCGGAGAUAACAUGAUCAAAAGAAUGAUCCUAGCUGGGAGCCGAAUAUAGGUAGGAGUUAUGGAAGAAGCAACCGAGGCGGGGGCUGAAUGAAUUGAGGUUCGUGGGAGCCUAGGUUUUCAUUCCCCUACGCCUUCAUACCUCCAUCCGUAGGAUGAAAAGCAGAAACACCCCAUCGGACUUGGUAUCGGUUUUUGGGAUUACAAAAAAGUGAACUCGAAUGAGAGCUUCAACCUUUGUACCUUACCAAUGGGCUGAAGAUCCGGAAAAUCCUUUCGGAUUUGGAAUCGGUCUUCGGGAUUGCAAAAAAAAAAAACAAAACAAAACAGAAAAAAAGAAGAGGCAAGUGGGGAAAACAGCAUAAAAGAGGGAGCAUUUCAUUCAUAAAGCCUGAAGGCCAAAAUUACA
This is a long non-coding RNA of Macadamia integrifolia, 7688 nucleotides long. RefSeq lists it as uncharacterized. The record is from RefSeq and is a predicted model, not a curated record. The transcript is spliced from 2 exons. NCBI's taxonomy places the organism in Eukaryota, Viridiplantae, Streptophyta, Magnoliopsida, Proteales, Proteaceae.